This 537-nucleotide ribosomal RNA is filed under the name Metschnikowia anglica. RNAcentral describes it as "eukaryotic LSU rRNA". It matches the Rfam family "Eukaryotic large subunit ribosomal RNA", at positions 62 to 648 of the family's 3401-position model. Lineage: Eukaryota; Fungi; Ascomycota; Pichiomycetes; Serinales; Metschnikowiaceae. The record is from RNAcentral.
AAACCAACAGGGAUUGCCUCAGUAACGGCGAGUGAAGCGGCAAAAGCUCAAAUUUGAAAUCCCCUUAACCCGGGAAUUGUAAUUUGAAGGUGGCUCUAAUAUCUUCUAGAAAACUUCCCUAAGUCCAUUGGAAAAUGGCGCCAUGGAGGGUGAUAGCCCCGUCUGGGUCCCAAGUUUCUAGUCGACCCUUAUUUAGAGCCUCCAAAGAGUCGAGUUGUUUGGGAAUGCAGCUCUAAGUGGGUGGUAAAUUCCAUCUAAAGCUAAAUAUUGGCGAGAGACCGAUAGCGAACAAGUACAGUGAUGGAAAGAUGAAAAGCACUUUGAAAAGAGAGUGAAAAAGUACGUGAAAUUGUUGAAAGGGAAGGGCUUGCAAGCAGACACAACCCACUCGGUUGGGCCAGCAUCGGGGGGAAGGGAGACAAAAAGGGAGAGGAAAUGUAACUCUCUUUAGAGCAUUAUAGCCCCCUCCUCACUUCUCCACCUCCUCCCGAGGCCUGCGAUUUAUUCUAGGAUGCUGGCGUAAUGGUUGCAAGUCGC